UCCCCGAGNUUAACUUGGGAACUGCGUUUUGAACUGNUAAGCUAGAGUAUGUCAGAGGGGGGUAGAAUUCCACGUGUAGCAGUGAAAUGCGUAGAGAUGUGGAGGAAUACCGAUGGCGAAGGCAGCCCCCUGGGAUAAUACUGACGUUCAUGCUCGAAAGCGUGGGUAGCAAACAGGAUUAGAUACCCUGGUAGUCCACGCCCUAAACGAUGUCAAUUAGCUGUUGGGGCACUUGAUGCCUUAGUAGCGAAGCUAACGCGUGAAAUUGACCGCCUGGGGAGUACGGUCGCAAGAUUAAAACUCAAAGGAAUUGACGGGGACCCGCACAAGCGGUGGAUGAUGUGGAUUAAUUCGAUGCAACGCGAAGAACCUUACCUGGUCUUGACAUGUACGGAAUCUUCCAGAGACGGAAGAGUGCCUUCGGGAGCCGUAACACAGGUGCUGCAUGGCUGUCGUCAGCUCGUGUCGUGAGAUGUUGGGUUAAGUCCCGCAACGAGCGCAACCCUUGUCAUUAGUUGCCACCAUUUAGUUGGGCACUCUAAUGAGACUGCCGGUGACAAACCGGAGGAAGGUGGGGAUGACGUCAAGUCCUCAUGGCCCUUAUGACCAGGGCUUCACACGUCAUACAAUGGUCGGUACAGAGGGUAGCCAAGCCGCGAGGUGGAGCCAAUCUCAGAAAACCGAUCGUAGUCCGGAUUGCACUCUGCAACUCGAGUGCAUGAAGUCGGAAUCGCUAGUAAUCGCAGGUCAGCAUACUGCAGUGAAUACGUUCCCGGGUCUUGUACACACCGCCCGUCACACCAUGGGAGUGGGGGAUACCAGAAGUAGGUAGGCUAACCGCAAGGAGGCCG
This 851-nucleotide ribosomal RNA is filed under the name uncultured bacterium. RNAcentral describes it as "bacterial SSU rRNA". It matches the Rfam family "Bacterial small subunit ribosomal RNA", at positions 600 to 1452 of the family's 1533-position model. The record is from RNAcentral.